AAGAGAUCCCACAUAGUUUUGCAGAGGCCGGCAUAAUUUUAAAACUGUGUGGUUUGCACAGAACAGGGUCAGUAUGUGCUGUAACAGAAUUUAUUGGAAUACAUAGAUUUUUGUGGCAGAUUUACGGUACUGGUACUUGCAAAUGGUUUUGUUUUUUUCUUCUUCUUUUUUUUUUAAUUUUUUUUUUUUUUACAUAAAUGUAUAGUCUGGCAUGAGUCGAGCAGCCGCCCUCAAAUUUAGUUUCAAAGAUCCUUUAUGGGAUCCCUUUAAGGCUCCUGAAGUGGACCGGAGGCUCUAGGAGUCUCCAGAUGGUGCAGACCCCUUCGUAAGCUGAAAUCAAACUCCCACAAACGUGUUCUGAGCAGUCAGCAAGACAACCUCUUGCUCAGACCGUAUCUGCAGUAUAAAUACAUCCUCCUGUUCCAAACAAACAGGAAUCCUGCCAUAUCUGAAAUCUGGCAACUGCCUUCAAAUAAAAUUUACUGUCAUGGCUUGCUAUUUUGCAGCCUGUCUCCUAUCUGUUGGGUCCUCCAGGAUGAAGGGCAGUGGAAAGAGGAUGUCUUUUCUAGGUUAAGGAGGUAUACACUAGCAGUAGAAGCCCAAGUUGGAAGAUUGUCAGUGAAGAACAUAGCUUUUAGGUCCUAGCAGAAACUUCAACUUCAAUGUUGAGGGGGGGAAAAAAAAAAGUGAAGUUUGCAGUUUGCAGGACCUAGUGAAACCUUGAGUAUGAAAAGUAUUUAAGUAUUUGCAUUUAUUUGCUCUCUGACUUUCACUGGGCCUCCUAACCUGCAUUCUGAGGGCUUCCACUUUAUUUUAAGCCUGCUGUAUCACAGUUUUGUGGAAAUGACAAUAAAUGAAAGUAGCCACGCUGUUGUUGGCAUGUUACAAUGUCAGCAAAUUUUGAGUGACUAUUUUGAUGCAGACAUCUCAUAUGAAUUUAUAUUUAUUUAAGUCUAAUUGUAUAAAAACAAACCCUCAAACAACAACCAACAGACAAAAAACCUCCAAAUGUCCCCACAUUAUUUUUAAUACACAUAUUAAACUACGAUUGUAAUAAUUCUCUUUACCAGUACUGAGACAAAUGUAAAAAUAUUUAUUCAGUGGAAUUUUCUGAGUAUAGCUAUCUUAAUCAACAGUGCAAAAUUCUCUUUGGCCAAGCAAUUAAUUUUUUUGAUGGGCAUGUAAAAUAUGUGGGGUUAUUUUCAGUUUAUACAUCCUCCUCACGGUAAAUAAUGCCAAAUAGAUUUAGUAUCUGGACAGACAAAUUUUUCAUUAUCACUUGGAAGCCUGAUUUAAAAUAUAUUACUUUGAGAAAUACAACAUUGAGAUUUUAACCAACCAUAUUGUGCUGCAGCUUAUUGUUCUGUUGCAGGGAUAAUGUAUUAAUGUUUAUUGAGUCCUUUAUAAAUUUAUAUGUGUUAUAUAUAGCCAUAGUUUCCUUUGUGAUCCUCUCUUUUAUUAAGCUGGAAUUUUAUAAAGGUGAAUUUUAAAACUACUGGUCAUUAGAUAGCACGUUGCAGUUUGAGAAAUAUUUUUUGUUUUGUUUUUAAGCUUAAUGUUUUUUACUGUCCUUUCAGUAUUUUCCCAUGAGAUUAAGGUCGUAUUUUUUAUGCAUGUUGA
RNAcentral lists this long non-coding RNA (1620 nucleotides) under Ficedula albicollis (Collared flycatcher). RNAcentral's name for it is "lncRNA (ENSFALG00000025981.1)". The record is from RNAcentral. Lineage: Eukaryota; Metazoa; Chordata; Aves; Passeriformes; Muscicapidae.